Molecule: long non-coding RNA, 2650 nt
Organism: Micropterus salmoides (largemouth bass)
Lineage: Eukaryota; Metazoa; Chordata; Actinopteri; Centrarchiformes; Centrarchidae
Exons: 2
Source: RefSeq, a predicted model, not a curated record
CAGGGCGAACCUGACAUUAGAAUUUUAUGACCUUGACUUACUGUGGUCACCUGGAUAAUAUUUAAAUCAACGUUAUGGUCUCUCACUUCUAUUAAAACUGCCAUAAUCUCCUUCUCUCAUCCGCAGUGUCUCUCCCUCCCUCUCAUUUGCACCACUAUGCCAGGGGAAGGACAAAGUUGAUGUCGCCAAGUGGGUCAUAGAGAAGCCGGAGGGGAACUGCUGGCCGUCCUGCUGCGGCCUCUCUCCGUUGUACACCUGGAAACAGGCGCUGGACGAGGCGGCUGUUUGCUCAGGCCGGCAGCUAUUGUCUCCAAGCCGGAUGUAAGUAGCAGACUCUGUUGUCUGCUUCCCCUUAUUGCUGUCAUCCUGAUAGAGGCAACAAAACGCCUCCUCUUUGACGUUGCCCGCUGGAAACGAGCAGGGUUGUAAACACUGGGCAACAGGUUGCUCGUCCCUGCUGGUUUUGGAGCCUGGGGUCCAUGUGGCCAGCUGUGUUGACAGGUAGGGCGCAUCCUGGAAGCCGCUGAGCUGCAGACCGCCCGGAGGAACAUCGUCUCUUUUGGAGAGUGAAGAUGGUCCAACCUUCCCAAUGUUUCUCAUCACUGAAUAUCCGUACUCUGCAGCUGUGUGGAUGUACAUUCCGGGGUUGCUGGAAUAACCCUCACCCCUGAAGGAAGAUGAUCCUCCCAUUAAGGAAUCCAUCAGGAAGUUCCCGGGCGCUAUGUUAUUCGGACAUGUCAUUUUUGCAUUUGGCAACACGGUAAUCGUUUGGUGUGUUCCACUGCUCUGAAGUACGGGAUUUACCAGGAGAAUAAGGACAGUAGGAUGCUGACAUCUUUUGGAGGGGGGUGCAAAAUAUCAGUAACAUAAUUAUGGAUGUUAGGAGACAUGUCAUGUGAUUUUUAGACCAAUAGCUGCGUGGAAGUGGCCUUGAUGCUUCAGACUGACGUGACGUCAGCGCGGUCAAGUUGGGAAACCUGGAGGGUUUUUGAUGGAGCAAGAGCGCCACCUAGCGACCGUUUGCUGGUCAGGACAGCAGGGCCACACCAGUGGGAACAAAGGACGGCUGCUGCAGCAAUGAAUUUAUUUGUAAGGCUCUUACUACGUGGCUUUUGAGUAUUUUAAUUCUGUUUAAUCUGGAACUUCUGAUGUUUGAAAGGAAAUCCAUGUAGUCAACAUGUGAUUUCCUUUUCACCCUGGUGCCAGGGCAAUGGAGAUGAAGCCAUCGCGGAUUUGUCACAAGAAAGAGUGCAUUUUGUGUCAGUUCUUUUUGUUGUUUUCAUCUAUUUGCUUUGUUGUUGCCACCGAUUUAGCAAGGUAAGCUGUCCGGUGUGUUAUUAAAAAGAAAACUAGAACAGAAAUGUGGAAUUCUUUGUGAAUUUUAAACCAAAAAACAACAACUAGGUUUUAACCCUUGACGUUGUGAAGUAGCCUAAAAAUGACAUGUUGGUUUUUGCAUUUUACCUGCUAAAUUUAAGAUUGUGAUAUGAUAGCCUAUAUGAAAUGUAUUUUACUGGCAUCCUUUUGUAGAUAGACAGUACAUUCAAUGCAUUAAACACCACGGCCUUGUCUUUUAUUUCUUUUAUUGAUUGAGGGCCAAAUAUUUUUCUUCCUAAGACUUUACGACAACAGAAUUACACUAGACUUUGUUUUUAAAAAAGCAAACACAUUAGAUGUUAUUUGACCAAUUAGUAAACUUUCACUAGAUUGGGAUAACUGAAGCCGCACUUGGCUCUUUACCUGGUUAUUUUCUUGAAAUGGGCUACAAAUUAUUAAGUAAACAGUGGAAUUUGUACGCUAGUGGACGGUGGACCUAUAACGAUAUUAAUUAUUGUGGUGUAAAAGGAAAGUCAUCAGUAUUAUUUUCAGGAUGUUCCUUGAUCUGUUACAUAAUGAAAAGCAUGUGUUUUCAAUAUGUAACAGAUCUGAAAUUAACAAUCUUACUGGCGUUUUUGUUUUUAUUCGCAGACUAGUUGCGGGCCAGAAGAGCUGGUUUGUGAAUUGUGGCUCUCGUUUAGCUUCGCUUUUUCAAGUAUUUAUGCACAGAUACUUUUUAAAAACAAUUCUCCUUCUCUCAUCAGCUCUAAUCAGAUGCUAUCAACAUUACCAUAAGAGUUUAAUUUUGUCACAGUCAGGUGAAAACAUUCAGGGCUAUGUAGAAUACCACUGCGAAACACGAAUACAGUGAAUAUGAAAAAUAAGCAGGUUACACUCCUCUUAGUCACUGAAACUGAUUUCGAAUACACGUAUUUUAAAACAUCUAAAUAAAUAAAAAACAUGAAUAUAGGCCACUAAUGUUAUUGUGAUAGCCUCAUAACGACUGGAUAGAGAGAAAAUGUUGUUGGAUAAAGCCCACAGUAAAUAGUUAAUCUGUGAUUUUUUGUUACUUUAAUGAAUUAGUUUUUAACACACAUAAUACUUUUUUGUCACUCCGUAUCUCCGUAUAUCAUCACCCUGAACAGAUUCAAAUAAGCAUUAUAGUCUGAACUGUUCUUGUCAGUUGUACUUUCAACAGUUUCAGUCCUAUUCUGCGCGCGUGUGUCUUAAAUUUGUAAUAAAUCUGCAUUCUUUUUUUAUUUAUUUUUUUAGCCUUGUUAAAUGACACUUUCUGUUACUGGGAGACAAUAAAGUUAUCUUGUGUUCAGUUACA